This is a long non-coding RNA of Chrysemys picta bellii (western painted turtle), 2643 nucleotides long. RefSeq lists it as uncharacterized. The record is from RefSeq and is a predicted model, not a curated record. Lineage: Eukaryota; Metazoa; Chordata; Testudines; Emydidae.
UGGAAAAAUGUUGGGUGUUUUUGCAAAAUGUCAUCCUCCAACUUUUGGAAGCUCCGGUGGUUUGCGUCUGGGUCCUAUUUUAUCUGAAGGUCCUCAGCUCAGAGAUUUUUGCAUAAAUUGUUUCAACUGUAGCUCAUCUCUGUUACAAAUAAGUGGAAGAGCAGUUUUGUUUUUUCAAAUCCUAUUUGGGUGGCAAACAAGAGACAUGUACCAUAGACUGAAGGAGAUUGUUUGUUUAACCAAUUUAUUAGCCAGUGCACUGUAUCUCCACAUAGAUGGUCUGUUAAACAACCUGCACCUCUAUUACUGCUUAAUGUACCAGGCAUGAUACCUAUGGGGUGCUGCUAUUCCAGUGGAAGUGACAUGUUCAAUGUUCAGUACCCCUAAUGCUGUGCAUUUUGCAUAACCAAGCUUUCCUCCCACUUUUCCCCUAAACAUUUACAUAUGUUUAAAGUAACUUAGCGACAAAUUACAACCGUCUCUUAAAAAUUAUGAGAGUUCUCUGAUCCCAGUGUGGCUGCCAGCUUGGCAGUGGGUCCUACAGCUGAUACCGAAGAAAUAGGGAAAGUAGUCAUGCAUUGUAAUGCCUCCCAGAACCCCCAUCUGUACACUGUAAACUGGUGCAAAAUCUCUGCCGUACUGCAUGCUCUUCCCACAUUUGUUCCCAAAUGUAUAGUUGGCACCAAGAAUCGCACCAGCUAGUGCAACUGUCUUUCAUCAGCUGCUUUGAGGCUGUGAUUUUUUUUGUUGCCAUCUGGAUGUGAUUUUAGAGCAUGACACAAGCCUGAAAAUGCAGUCAUGCAACCGUUAGCUUCUUUUCUCUCUCUGCCAUGCACAUGCACAAUUACAAAAGUUACAUUCCUUUGCUACUCUGAUUCCUUUGUUGAGAAAACAUGAUGUACUCUUGUGAUUAUUUAUUUUAAUCAUUGCUAUUUGUUUUACAGUAGAACCUAGAAGGCCCAGAUGAAAUCGGAGCCGCACUAUGCAAGGCUGCCUACAAACACAUGGGUAGCACAUCACCGCUGCUGACAUGCAGCCACCUCUGGAGUGCACCACAGCAGUUGUUUGGCAACGUUCCACGAGAGUCAAAGAAGGGAAGUGAAAAAGCAUACUAGGUCCAUUUGAAACUGUGGGGAAAGCACCUUUCAUCUGAGACUCUCAAAGCACUUUGCAAACAUAGAUAAAGCUUUGCAACUGUCAAGCUUUAGAUUGGAAAUAAGGCAUAAGCUGUUAACACUAAGGAUGAGGGACAUUGAGGCAGAAAGAGGCUUAAUGACUUCCCCAAGAUCAGGCAAAAGGAAAAAAAAACAGUGGCAAAGGAAGAGUCCCAGCUCCUUAUCGACUGUCCUAAUCAUUAUACACACUAUAUUUUCACAGCACUACAAAAAUAUGAAUACAAGAAACCAAAAAAAGCCAAAGGAAACACAUUUCCUGUAAAUGUGUGAAAAUGGUAUGUUUGGUCUGAUAAUCUUGAACACAUUUCUUUUGAAAGCAUAAUUUAUUAAAAUAAGCACAUGUAAUUUUGCAAUUAUAAAUACAAUAUGUGCAUUAAACACAUUAGUUAAGAAGUUAUGCUUUUAAAACUGCAAAUCACUAACCAAAUGCAUUUUACAAUGUUUUAAUGAGCACUUUUUCAUAUGGUAUUAAUAUCCAUUAGCUAUGUUAAUACAAGUAAUGCUAAUAAUGUACAAAGCCAUUAUUUUGCUACAAAGUCAAUAAUGGAUGGUAGUGAUUCCUAGACUGAACUGCCUGAGAGGGUUUAUAUUGUGUUUAGUGCAAUGGUAAAAGUACCACUGAAUUUCUCUCUCUGUUAACUAAAUUCUGGCUGCUUUCAUGGAGGGUAAUUAUCUGGGUUAGGUGGAGGUCUGUGGGGUGAUUUUGGAGGGGUUCUAUAAAUCAACACAGGUGCUGGGUAGAAAUAGCGCACAGAUGCCCUUCUGUCUUCCAUAAAGCAACACCAGGAUAUAGGGACAUUUCCCCUGUUUUCUAUUGCCUGCUCACUAAUGUUGUCUCAUUGUUUCUUUGCACUUGUCUGUCUGUCUGUAUCCAUCUGUUGUCUCUUGUCUUAUAUUUAGAUUGUGAGCUCUUUGGGACAAGGACUGUCUUUUUGUUCUGUUUGUACAGCACCUAGCACAGUAGAGUCCUUCUACAGGACUGGGGCUCCUAGAUGCUAUGAUUAAACAAAUAAUUAAUAAAAAGAACUAACCAUUUUCAUCGGUACACUAUACGUACCUGCCCUCUCCUUUGCACAGGUAUAAAUUUCACCAUUAUGAGAUAAGCAGAGUUAGGCCUGACCUGCAAAGUUUGGAUUCAAACUUCCCCAGCGUACAUUGGUGGUUGGGUUCUGAGAUGGAUUCAAAGCCAAACUGAAGUCAAUGGAAAAACUCCCAAUGACUUCCAUGGGCUUUGCAUCAGUCCCUUGCUUUGAGCUCAUCUUUAAAUAUAACUUUGAUAUAUUGUAUCUAAAUGUAUUUUAUUGGCUAGACUCUCUUUGGAACAACUAUGAUUGUUAUUUUGCCAGAUAAUCUGGUGAAAUGUAAUAGUUGUUUAGUUAGUGGAUGGAAUGAGGAGUGAUUAUUGGGAGAAAUUCUACUUGAAGUUGUAAUACAAUUUGCAGAUACAUUAUACUGCUUGCUUUAGAAA